CGUGCACCAGUGGGGUCCCUCAGCCUGGCCUGCACUCUCUCGCAAUUCGGGACCCCUCGGGGGAUGUCAGAGAGCUGGUUUCGGCCCGAUCCCACAGGCCAGGCUGAGGGACCCCACUGGUGCAUG
RNAcentral lists this microRNA precursor (126 nucleotides) under Myotis brandtii (Brandt's bat). RNAcentral's name for it is "mir-9193 microRNA precursor family". It matches the Rfam family "mir-9193 microRNA precursor family". The record is from Rfam by way of RNAcentral. Lineage: Eukaryota; Metazoa; Chordata; Mammalia; Chiroptera; Vespertilionidae.